This 62-nucleotide small RNA is filed under the name Nodularia spumigena. Its description in RNAcentral is "Nitrogen stress-induced RNA 1". It matches the Rfam family "Nitrogen stress-induced RNA 1". RNAcentral also lists the same sequence under 1 other name. The record is from RNAcentral. Lineage: Bacteria; Bacillati; Cyanobacteriota; Cyanophyceae; Nostocales; Nodulariaceae.
UGGUAGAUGCAACCUGAUAAUUAAUUCCCCUACCUGACUAACACUCAUUGGGGAAUUUUUUU